GGAAUAUUGGACGACAUGGCGCAGCCUGAUCCAGCCAUGCCGCGUGAGUGAUGAAGGCCCUAGGGUUGUAAAGCUCUUUCACCGGUGAAGAUAAUGACGGUAACCGGAGAAGAAGCCCCGGCUAACUUCGUGCCAGCAGCCGCGGUAAUAGAUA
This 154-nucleotide ribosomal RNA is filed under the name uncultured Sinorhizobium sp. RNAcentral describes it as "partial 16S ribosomal RNA". It matches the Rfam family "Bacterial small subunit ribosomal RNA", at positions 358 to 529 of the family's 1533-position model. Lineage: Bacteria; Pseudomonadati; Pseudomonadota; Alphaproteobacteria; Hyphomicrobiales; Rhizobiaceae. The record is from RNAcentral.